Molecule: long non-coding RNA, 428 nt
Organism: Canis lupus familiaris (dog)
Lineage: Eukaryota; Metazoa; Chordata; Mammalia; Carnivora; Canidae
Exons: 4
Source: RefSeq, a predicted model, not a curated record
UGGCUGGUCUCACACCUGCUCUUAGCCCAGUCAGAUCCAAUGCCUCGUGUCUCUAACAAAGAUUUACUCAAUCUUCGCAAGGAGAUGACCUUGGGGACAAAUCAGGGAAAUUUGAAUACCGAAUCAACAUGAGAUGAAGGACCCAAUCAUCAGUUAAGAAGAAGGAACAGUUCUCAUGAAGACCCCACUUCGAGAAGCAAGGCUUUAUAUGACACCAGACUACAAGUGCAGCUGACCGCCCCCCCCUUUUUUUUUUACUGAACUCUAGGGCUGGUAGCCUGGAGUCUCUGUGACCCCAUGCUUCCUGAAGACCAUCUCUUCAUCUCAGAAGACUCCAGACAUAGAAUCACUCCAUGCCACCCAAAAAGAUUUUAUUUAUCCAUUCAUGAGAGACACACAGAGAGAGGCAGGGACACAGGCAGAGGGAG